This 61-nucleotide transfer RNA is filed under the name Taenia multiceps. Its description in RNAcentral is "tRNA-Cys". Lineage: Eukaryota; Metazoa; Platyhelminthes; Cestoda; Cyclophyllidea; Taeniidae. The record is from RNAcentral.
GAGCAUGAAUUGUGUUAGCUUUGCAAAAGCUAAAGAGAAUUAUUUAGUGGUUCCAUGUUUU